GCAUGCGCCGCGGCGCCCCGCCGCCCUCCGCAUUUCGGCUGCGGUCGCCUGCGAGCAGGUUGUUGUUUUUAUGAGAGGCGUCACUGCUCUCGGAGCUGUGACCGUCGCCGCCGCGACAGCUAACGCCGUCGGGCGGAGGUGGCGCUGCUCCUUCAGACCUGAAAAAUGUCUGAAAAUUCCAGUGACAGUGAUUCAUCUUGUGGUUGGACUGUCAUCAAUCAUGAGGGGUCUGAUACAGAGAUGAUGAAUUCUGAACAUGGUGUAGCCAGUGACAGCUGUGAGCUCACCCCAGAAUGUUCAUCUUUAUCACAAGAGGAGCUACGAGUAUUGCAGUUAGAGCAGGGAGAGAGCAGCCAGAAUGGCACAGUGUUAAUGGGAGGAGCUACUUAUCCAGCUUUGGAGGAAAUGAAGUCAGCACUCGAGGGAGAGGAAGAAAAGUUACCUGAUGACAAUCUCUAUUUUGGAACUGUCAGUGAUGAUUCUGAUAUUGUUACACUUGAGCCACCUAAGUUAGAAGAAACUGGGAGUCAAGAAGAAGCAAUAAUUGUUAAAGAAGCACAGCGUCCGGAAGACUUCAACAUGGGCUCUUCCUCUAGCAGCCAGUAUACGUUUUGUCAGCCAGAAACUGAAAGGUGGUGGGAGAAGCUGUGGAAGAUUCCUGAAUGCAUAAGGGGAUGGGAUGAUCAGCUGAAACACCAUGUUCCUAGCCAACUCGCUUUCCAAGUAUUUUCAUCUCAGCCUAGCGAUGACGAAUCCAGUAGUGAUGAAACCAGUCAUCAGCCCAGUCCGGCCUUUAGACGACGCCGUGCUAGGAAGAAGACUGUUUCUAGUUCAGAAUCUGAAGAAAGGUUACUUGCUGAACAAGAAACUGAACCUUCUAAGGAGCCGUGUAAACGUCAGUUCAAUAGUGGUCUCAAUAAAUGCGUUAUACUUGCUUUGGUGAUUGCAAUCAGCAUGGGAUUUGGACAUUUCUAUGGCACUAUUCAGAUUCAGAAGCGUCAACAGUUAGUCAGAAAGAUACAUAAAGAUGAAUUGAAUGAUAUGAAGGAUUAUCUUUCCCAGUGUCAACAGGAACAAGGGUCAUUUAUAGAUUAUAAGUCAUUGAAGGAAAACCUUGCACGGUGUUGGACCCAUACUGAAGCAGAGAAAACGUCCUUUGAAACUCAGAAAAGGAACCUUGAUACAGAAAAUCAGUAUCUAAGAAUAUCUCUGGAGAAGGAAGAAAAAGCCUUAUCUUCAUUACAGGAAGAGUUAAGGAAACUAAGAGAACAGAUUAGGAUAUUGGAAGAUAAAGGGACAAGUGCUGAAUUAGUUACAGAAAAUCAGAAACUUAAGCAGCAUUUGGAAGAAGAAAAGCUGAAAACACAAAGCUUCCUUAAUCAAAAGGAGACUCUGUUGGCAGAAGCAAAGAUGCUAAGGAGGGAACUGGAAAGAGAACAACUAAUAACCAUGGCUUUAAGGGUGGAACUCCAGCAGCUAAGCUCUAGUCAGGCAUAUAGCAACCCAGACUCUCCCAGUGUAGUGACUGAAAAAAAGGAAAUAGAAGUGUUACGGGAAAGACUCACUGAGCUGGAGCGCAAGCUAAACUUUGAACAGCAGCGUUCUGACUUGUGGGAAAGACUGUAUGUUGAAGCAAAAGAUCAAAAUGGAAAACAAGAAACUGAUGGAAAAAAGAAAGGGAACAGAGGAAACCACAGAGCUAAAAAUAAGUCAAAGGAAACAUUUUUGGGUUCUGUUAAGGAAACAUUUGAUGCUAUGAAGAAUUCUACCAAGGAGUUUGUGAGGCAUCAUAAAGAAAAAAUUAAACAGGCUAAAGAAGCUGUAAAAGAAAAUCUGAAAAAAUUCUCAGAUUCAGUUAAAUCCACUUUCAGACAUUUCAAAGAUACCACCAAGAAUAUCUUUGAUGAAAAAGGCAAUAAAAGAUUUGGUGCUACAAAAGAAGCAGCAGCCAAAAAACCAACAACAGUUUUUAGUGAAUAUUUAUAUCCACAGUAUAAGGCACGUACACAAAACCAGAAUAGUAGAGGCCCUACUACGCAAAGAGAGAGAAGGAAAGAAAAGCCUCAUUUUGAAGAAUUUGGAAAAAAUACAAAUUCACAGAAAUGCAGUGCUGAGCAUGACUGUGGUGGAAAUUAUAAUUCUUUCAGAAAGGCUUGUUCUGGUGUAUUUGAAUGUGCUCAACAGGAAUCCAUUAAUCUUUUUAAUGUUAAAAUGUUGAAUCCUGUAAGGAUAGAUGAAUUUAGACAGUUAAUUGAAAGGUAUUUAUUAGAAAAACUGGAUAGUUUUCAUCAUUGGAAAGAACUUGAUCACUUCAUCAAUAAUUUUUUCCUAAAUGGUAUCUUUAUACAUGAUCAGAAGCUCUUCACUGACUUUGUUAAUGAUGUUAAAGAUUAUCUUAAAGACAUGAAGGAAUAUCAAGUAGAUAAUGAUGGAGUAUUUGAGAAGUUGGAUGGAUAUAUAUAUAGACACUUCUUUGGUCACACCUUUUCCCCUCCAUAUGGACCCAGUCGACCAGAUAAAAAGCAACGUAUGGUAAAUAUUGAAAGCUCCAGGCAUCGAAAACAAGAGCAGAAGCACCCUCAGCCACAACCUUAUAAAAGGGAAGGUAAAUGGCAUAAAUAUGCUCGCACUAAUGGAAGACACAUGGCAAACCUUGAAAUAGAAUUGGGGCAAUUACCUUUUGAUCCUAAAUAUUGACCAUCAUGAUUAAGUUAAAUUAGAAAACUGUAACAGAAACUUGGAUGCUUUCUAUACUGUUUGGUGUUGAAACUAAGAUGAAAUUAUCAAGAUAACAGUGUCUUUUUAUCAUUUCUAAGUAUCAGUUUGAUGAUUUUAUAUUAUUACUCAGAAGCAUCAAGCAAAAGCUUACUAACUUGCAUUUUCCGGUAGUUUAGCUUUGCUGAAUUUUUUUUGGCACUGGAAAUGUUCAACUGUAGAUUUAUAUUAAGGAAGCCAGGCAUGCAACAGAUUUUGUGCAUGAAAUGAGACUUCCUUUCAGUGUAUGAGCUUAAAGCAAGCUCAAAUCAUACAUGACAAAGUGUCAUUAACACUGAUAUUUGUGUUAAAUUUCCAGUAGAGCUUGAAAAAAGUACAUUGUGAUGGAAUUUCAUCUCUAACAUUUUAUAAUCUUACACUUCUUGUCUUUUUGUGGGUUCAAGAGCCCGUUGACUUGUGAAGAAUUUGCUGCCUUACGAGCUUGCUGACUUGUUCUCUUGUGAAAUUUCUUGCACAUAUGAAUAUUGUGGAAGAAACAAUAAAACUACACCAUGAGGAAAACUAAAGGUCUUUAUUUAAAAUCUGGCAUUUGCAUUAUUAAUACAUGAUUUUAUAUUUUGUGAUAUUUUUCAUAUAUUUCCUCAGUAGUGAUAUUUGGUAAAGCAGUUCAUAGUGGUUUUUUGCUAGUUCCAUGAAUUUUACCCAGUAUUUACUAGCAUAUUUAAGCAGCAUCUGGAUAUUUCUGCUCAGCAAUGUCUAUUUCUCUGAGAAAGAUCUAAACAAAGUCAGAAUUUCAUGUUCAUGUUUGGUUGAGUUUCCCUUUUAACUUCCGUUCAUAGACGUAUAUGUGACUUCCAGUUCGACGCUCCGGAAAGUGAGUGUGGAAGAAAACAGCAGUUCUCUCAUACUUGUUUGAAAUUAGGAAAGGAUUUAUUUCCUAGAAGUAAAUAAAUGUUUAAGUAAAUAAAGGCUGCAUUUUGCUGAGUACUGUUUCAAGAAUUUAAGAAUGACCUGUUUGUUCUUCUGAAACCCUUAAUAAAACAAUGCAAUUUCUUAAUAAAAUAAUUAACUCAUGGUAAGUAACAUAUAUUCCUUGGUAGUUAUAGAACUAGGGCUGAUUUGGACUAGGGAAAAGACCAGUUAUAAAAUAUGGGUUGAAAGGGACCAUAAAAAAAGUGAUGUUGUCUAUUUACCUGAGUGUUUGCUAAACCUGAGGUGAAAUAAAAAUACUGAGUUAUACCUUUUUUCAUGUUCCCUUACCUCCUCCAAGAUGCUGAAGAUGAUCAAGUGAGUAGGCAGCGUUGAAUCAUUUUGAAACUCUCUAUACAACCACUUUAAGGGAUUUAGAUAAAAUAUAUCUGCUUCAACAAGAUAAUCACUUUUUCCAGUCAGGUCUGGGGGACACUGGAGAAAUCUCAUUGGAAGUGGGUGAUGGACAUGGCUAUAAAAAGAAAGUUACCAUUAUAGUUACAAGAAGUAAAAAAAAAAUUUUUUUCGUGAAAGUUUUCAAAUUACUCUUAAGAUACGCUCACAUAACAAAAUGUGAAAUCUGAAUCUAAACUAGGUUCCAGUUAAGGUGAGGAGGCACACCUUUAAUGCAGUUUUCUCAAAAAUGGAGAAUAUGAUUCUCACACUGUGUACCUGUGCAGUAACUUCAAGUCCAAACUAAAGAGCAAAACUCCAUUUCAGGGCAGGAAGUAGGUCAGCAGCCUGUGGGACUCAGUAGUCUAUAACAUUAGUAUGCUGUUCCAGGGAUGCAUGGGGCCUUUGGGACCGGGUAUGUUGCUUGUUAAUAAGAGAGUAAUAUCUGGCAAAGUAGAAAACUGAUCAUGAACCAGAAAGGAUUCUUUUCCUCUUUCUGCUCUGAAUCCUUACAUGACAAGUUUUUCCUUCUUUUUUUCUUAAAUAUUUAUAUAAGUAAGAUUUAGUAAUAGAGAGCAACAUGGGUUCACUGAUCAAAAUUCAAAUAAGUAAUGGUUUUACUGUGGCAUAGAAAGACUAGAGUGUAUGUAAAAAAGAUGGACUGAUGAAUCAUAACAACUUAAGCCAGUUACUUGGGCCAUGCAAAAAGCCAUGUUUACAACUUUGCCUCAGGAAAAUUAAUAUAGGGACUUCCCUGGUGGCGCAGUGGUUAGGAAUCCACCUGCCAAUGGGACACGGGUUCGAUCCCUGGUCCAUGAAGAUCCCACACGCCACGGAGCAACUAAGCCUGUGUGCCACAACUACUGAGCCUGCGCUCUAGAGCCCAUGAGCCACAACUACUGAGCCUGCGUGCCACGACUAACGAAACCCGCGUGCCUAGAGCCUGUGCUCCGUGACGAGAAGCCACCACAAUGAGAAGCCCGCGCACCGCAACGAAGAGUAGCCCCUACUCUCCACAACUAGAGAAAGCCUGCACGUGGCAACGAAGACCCAACACAGCCAAAAAUAAAUUUAUAAAAAGAAGAAAAAUUAAUAAGUGAUAAAAGUUUAUUUUUAUCUAUGAAAUGCAUACAAAAUAAAUUUACACAAGACCUUAAUACUUCAUGACUGGGACUUCCCUGGUGGCUCAGUGGUUAAGAAUCCACCUGCCAAUGCAGGGGACACGGGUUCGAGCCCUGGUCCAGGAAGAUCCCCCAUGCCAUGGAGCAACUAAGCCCAUGCUCCACAAUUACUGAGCCUGCGCUCUAGAGCCCCUGCGCCACAACUACUGAGCCUGCGUGCCACAACUACUGCGCCUGUGUGCUGCCACUGCUGAAGCCCACAUGCCUAGAGCCUGUACUCCGCAACAAGAAAAGCCACCGCAAUGAGAAGCCAGCUCGUCACAACUAGAGAAAGCCCACAUGCAGCAACAAAGACCCAACAAUGCCUAAAUAAAUAAAGUUAUUUCAAAUACUUCAUGACUUUUAUAAUUUUGAAGAUGAAGGUUUUGCUUCAAGGGGAAAGCAGAAACUGAGAAAAAGCUGCCAGCCUUAUAUUCCAAUACGCGGGCCUCUCACUGCUGUGGCCUCUCCCGUUGCGGAGCACAGGCUCCGGAGGCGCAGGCUCAGCGGCCAUGGCUCACGGGCCCAGCCGCUCCACGGCAUGUGGGAUCUUCCCAGACCGGGGCACGAACCCACGUCCCCUGCAUCAGCAGGCGGACUCUCAACCACUGCGCCACCAGGGAAGCCCAAUGAUGUCUUUUUAAACGUCCUGCAUAAUUAAAGGCAGUUUCAGCGUUAUUUCCCAGACACACUUAAUCCAAGCAUUAGGAUGUCAUCUAAUUGAAUUCCCUAAUUUUUACAGGCAAGACAGCUGAUAUCCAAAGAGACUAAAAAUACUGGUUUAAGACCAGGGCAACAGUACAACAGUAAAUCUGGACUUGAAUCCAGUGUUUUGAGAUUAUUUCAAAAUUAUGUAAAUAAUAAGAUGUAUGAUAGGUUUGUACGGAUCAAUGAUAAGUGAAUUUCUUUACUAAGAGUACCAUCAAAUAAGCCUAUAUGAUAUUUUAAACUACCUUUAAAUAGUAUAAAAUAUCAUAUAGGCUUUUGAUCAGAUUAUUUAAAUGUAAGUUGUUUUGAAAAAAGAAUAUUAAAGUUUAUUUGAAAGUUGUAUAUGAUUUUCAUUGACAUAAAUAGCAGUUUCAAAUUUCUUAUAAUCAUUUGAUCAAUUAAUUUAAAUCCAGGAAUCCAAAAGGAAUUUUAAAGUAGUUUUCGUAAUAAUAGCAUAUAGUGAACAAAUUUUAUUACCUAUAAUAAGGAGUAGAGUGACAAGGCAUCAUCAUAAGUACUGAAGCUGAAGAUAUAUUUGUAUUGUUGUAACAGAGUUCUUGAAUAUUAGUCAUGACAUCAAGGGUACCUCGUUGAUGAACUAAACCAGUAUAGAGGGCAAAGAACAUAUUUGAUAGAAACAGGAAACUUAGAGCUGGUUUCUUCCACAAUUUCAGGUUGUUUAGGGAGUAUCCUAUAUAAAGAUAGACACACUGAAUUGUAACACUGGUAAUGUUUUGUUUUAUAGCUAAGCAAAUAUUAACUGCAAAUUAUAUUGGUAAUCUUUCAUGGAAGUGUAGUAUAAGCUGUAAUGCUGUCAUGGACAAACAGAAAUCAGCAAUACGUCAUCUUUGUAAUUUCUCUGACCAUUCACUGUCACUAUCCAUUAUCAUCCAUGUCUUGACCUUUUUCUAGAAAAAGGAAUUGAGGUAUAGCGGAAAGAUUAUGGCUAGAGAGUCUAACAGAAACAGAUUUGAAUUCUAACUCUGGAAUUAGUUUCCCUAUCUUCCCUAACAGUACCUUUUUCAAGUAUUAGAAAAAAAUGUUAUGUCCAGUGCCUGUCCUGGUACAUAGUUGCUAAACAAACAGGACUUGUAUUUAUUCCAUUUACCUAUCACUUUAAUCUCCAAGCACUAGCAAUGGAUGUGUACAUACAGGUCUCAGUAAUUCUGGAGGAAGUAUAACAGAAUAUCCUCUUAGAAAAAUACACCACUAAGCUCCUGGGAGAUUUUCAGUGGUCAGUUUAUGAGUGGUGGCAUGGAUCUCUUUCUGGAAGAGAACGAUUUAUGUUUUAUUAUUAUUUUUUUCUUUCACUAUAGUGUUGGACAAUUUGGAGAUGCUAAACAAUUUUUUAAUUUGUAAAAGUAAUUCUUGUAUGUGGCAAAACAAAACAAAAAAACCACUUUGCUAAGGAAAUCUAUAUUUUCAUUUUCCAUAGUGAGAAGUCAGAUAAUGCCAAAAACAGUAACCUUUAAGAGCAUUAUUAGCAUUUUAUUUAGAGAGGGAGACAAAUAACAAAACAACCACCUAAAAGAGUGUAAGUGAUUGCCUCUGAGUAUGGUAAUGGGAGGGAGGGCAGGGGAACCACCGUUCUUUAAAAAUCCUUAUCUGACUUUUGAAACAGUACCUGUGCAGUUUUGCUAAAAAGAUAAGCAUAUGGAAAAACAAAGUGGCCUAAUCAGAGACCAGCAAGUCUGCACUGGCCACUGUAGUAAAAACAGAUUAAGCAGAAACCCAACCCAAGAUCCUGCCACUUAAAGACUCACUCUUUUGGAAUGGGAAUGAGAAUUCAGACAACUCAAGUCUUUAAAACACUCUGUAAAGACAGAGCAGAGAAGUGGAAUGCUGGAAAAACCAGAUUAUAAAAAUGGAAUGAAACCAAGUUCGUAAAUUAACCAAACCAAACAUGUGCACAGAAAUAUUUGUCCUCCAGUAGUCUGGCAAUGCUUACCUGGGUGAAAAGCAAACAAUUAUAAUUCUAACUCAAGUUAUUGUAAAAAAAAAAAAAAAGUUUAAAUCUGAAUAGUGAUUUGUGAACAUAUUUGCUCUGCUAAAUGGUCCCACUGUUCUUAAAACUUGCCAAAUAGCUCUUAGAUGCUUAUAUUUUUAUUUGUGCCUGCAUUUGUAUAUGAAGUAAGACUAUAAAUAGGACACUAACUUUGGUUUCAGAACUUUAGAUGUUUCAAAUACAUAGAUGUGUGUGUUUGUGUCUAAAUUGAAGAGACUACAUCUGAGAUCUGCAGGAGAUCACUUAUACUUGGUCAAAGAAGGCUGCUUAACUCGAUGGGUUGUUUGGAGGUUUUUUUUUUUUUUAAGUAAAAAGUUUGGUACCAUUAACUUCCCAGUUUUUCUGAGCCUCCAGGCCCAGUUGAUUACUCAUUUCUUCCCUCCUUAGUCCAGUGAUUUUUUUAGUGAUUAAUAUUUGAAGGAAGCCAACACUCAUUCUGAAUUAAACUUGAAGUUAAUAAAGUUUUAAUUCGUAAAUUUUCCAAACCAACCAAUGAAAAAGUUCAUAUUUUCCAGAGCCGAGUAAUAUAAGACUUUUUAGCAGCCAUAAGUAAAAAACUUACUGAAAAAAACCUAGUGGAAAAAUGGAGAAAAGAUUAAAAACUAAGUCAGAGGUGUGAAUCACUUUAAAAAUUGCAUAUGCAUUAGAGUGAGUCUUGAAGGGAUAGAUGUGUGUAAAGCAUUAAAAACUAGUUUCAAUGUACAUUUUUCAUUUGUGGAAUGUAGAACUUUGUAGUUUAACCAUAAAUUUAAAUUAGCUAUUCUAAAAUAGACAUGUUGUAUUACUUUUUAGUGAAAGAUUUCUGACAGCCAGAAACACCACCACCAAAAGGUGUUAUGGAUACUGGAUCCUUAUGUUUUUAUCUCACAGGACACAGGAAAAAGGAUAUUUAGGCUGCAAAAAGGGAAUGCUGCAGUAAUAUACUCAAUUUGUAAUUAAGGAGCAAUUCUUAUUUAGCCUAGUAGAAAAUAAAUAAUAUUUUAGAGUUUAAUAAGCAUUGAUUGUCUUUUAACUGUUUCUUUAUAAUUGAUUUUUUCUCUAUUAUACGAAAAUACUUACCACAGAACACCAUACAAAAUGGUAAAACUGGAUAGAUAAAUCUGAAUUCUUUGUGGCUCAACAUGCUAUAGUAAAAAAAGAUAUUCAAAGAAAAUAUUAUUUUUUUAUAUUAAACGAUGGUUUGAGAAGUUAAUGUAUUUAAAAAGAAUAUAAUUAACCUGAUCUGUUUUUGUAAUUACUGAGACUGAAUUUCAUGCUUUAGGAAUCAGUCUCAUUCUUCUUUAGUUAUAAGGUGAUGAUGAUGUGUUAAAAGUAAUCCUAACAUUUGAUGUCAAUGCGAUAUUCUAAAGUACAAUUGCAUUCUAAAAAAAGGAUUUCUAUUACCAAUCCAAGUAAGUUAUUUUACUCAAAUUUCAAAUAAAGGCGCAUACAUUUUCAAAAUA
RNA transcript from Globicephala melas (long-finned pilot whale), 9392 nucleotides. It is a transcript of the gene named cell cycle progression 1, with no coding region annotated. The record is from RefSeq and is a predicted model, not a curated record. Lineage: Eukaryota; Metazoa; Chordata; Mammalia; Artiodactyla; Delphinidae.